Molecule: transfer RNA, 93 nt
Filed under: Rhodospirillaceae bacterium
Lineage: Bacteria; Pseudomonadati; Pseudomonadota; Alphaproteobacteria; Rhodospirillales; Rhodospirillaceae
Description: tRNA-Ile
Rfam family: tRNA
About the family: Transfer RNA (tRNA) molecules are approximately 80 nucleotides in length. Their secondary structure includes four short double-helical elements and three loops (D, anti-codon, and T loops). Further hydrogen bonds mediate the characteristic L-shaped molecular structure. tRNAs have two regions of fundamental functional importance: the anti-codon, which is responsible for specific mRNA codon recognition, and the 3' end, to which the tRNAs corresponding amino acid is attached (by aminoacyl-tRNA synthetases). tRNAs cope with the degeneracy of the genetic code in two manners: having more than one tRNA (with a specific anti-codon) for a particular amino acid; and 'wobble' base-pairing, i.e. permitting non-standard base-pairing at the 3rd anti-codon position.
Source: RNAcentral
CCCCCAGUAGCUCAGCGGUAGAGCGGCGGGUUUAUACCCCGUUUGCGCCAGAUAAGCGGCAGGUCGCACGUUCGAAUCGUGCCUGGGGGACCA